UUAAAUUGAAGAGUUUGAUCAUGGCUCAGAUUGAACGCUGGCGGCAGGCCUAACACAUGCAAGUCGAACGGUAACAGGAAGAAGCUUGCUUCUUUGCUGACGAGUGGCGGAGGGGUGAGUAAUGUCUGGGAGACUGACUGAUGGAGGGGGAUAACUACUGGAAACGGUAGCUAAUAC
Molecule: ribosomal RNA, 177 nt
Filed under: Escherichia coli
Lineage: Bacteria; Pseudomonadati; Pseudomonadota; Gammaproteobacteria; Enterobacterales; Enterobacteriaceae
Description: partial 16S ribosomal RNA
Rfam family: Bacterial small subunit ribosomal RNA
Source: RNAcentral